AAAACCUUAAGUUAAUUCAAACUAAUAACCUUCAAAGUUAUAUAUAUAUUUAUAAAUAUAGGUUUUA
RNAcentral lists this transfer RNA (67 nucleotides) under Trachypeplus jacobsoni. RNAcentral describes it as "tRNA-Trp". Lineage: Eukaryota; Metazoa; Arthropoda; Insecta; Hemiptera; Tingidae. The record is from RNAcentral.